Molecule: ribosomal RNA, 504 nt
Filed under: uncultured bacterium
Lineage: Bacteria
Description: bacterial SSU rRNA
Rfam family: Bacterial small subunit ribosomal RNA
Source: RNAcentral
AUUGAACGCUGGCGGAAUGCUUUACACAUGCAAGUCGAACGGCAGCACGGGUGCUUGCACCUGGUGGCGAGUGGCGAACGGGUGAGUAAUGCACCGGAACUUAUCCAAUAAUGGGGGAUAACGCACCGAAAGGUGUGCUAAUACCGCAUACGCCCUGAGGGGGAAAGCGGGGGAUCGUAAGACCUCGCGUUAAUGGAGCGGCCGAUGCCGGAUUAGCUAGUUGGUGAGGUAAAGGCUCACCAAGGCGACGAUCCGUAGCUGGUCUGAGAGGACGACCAGCCACACUGGAACUGAGACACGGUCCAGACUCCUACGGGAGGCAGCAGUGGGGAAUUUUGGACAAUGGGGGCAACCCUGAUCCAGCCAUGCCGCGUGAGUGAAGAAGGCCUUCAGGUUGUAAAGCUCUUUCGGACGGAAAGAAAUCGACGCAGGUAAAUAAUCUGCGUGGAUGACGGUACCGUAAGAAGAAGCACCGGCUGACUAACGUGCCAGCAGCCGCGGUAA